UAGUUUAACGUCUUCCCGGGA
Molecule: non-coding RNA, 21 nt
Organism: Caenorhabditis elegans
Lineage: Eukaryota; Metazoa; Nematoda; Chromadorea; Rhabditida; Rhabditidae
Source: Ensembl